UCAACUUCCUUCGUUUCACUGGUUCAAUAUCUCAAUGGUGUAGGUUGGUCCCUUGCGCUGCUGGCCAGGUGGAUUAUGUCUUUCUACGUCAAUUGGAGAUACAGAUGUUGGAGAAUUUAUUGUUCCAAUACUGCAUGUCAAGCAAAGUGAAGCUAUCAAGUGCUGGGGGAAGGCUCAUUGUUGCUUCUGAUGGUAUCUGGGAUGCAUUAUAGUCUGAUGUGGCUGCAAAGUGUAGUCGUGGUUUACCUGCUGAGCUUGCUGCCAAGUUGGUGGUUAAGGAGGCUCUAAGGUCAAGGGGGCUGAAGGACGAUAAAACAUGCCUUGCUGUUGAUAUUAUCCCAUCUGACGUUCCUGUCUUACCUUCUAUACCAAGGAAGACACAAAACAUGCUUAGGUCACUUCUGUUUGGAAAGAAAUCUCUAAAUUCUGUUAGCAAAGCAACAAAUAAGCUUUCUGCUGUUGGAGUGGUAGGGGAGUUGUUUGAAGAGGUUUCUGCUAUGCUUGCAGAAAGGUUGGGUAAAGAUUUUCCUUCAAACACAAACUCUAGGCUAUACAGAUGUGCCGUAUGCCAAAUCGAUCACACCCCCACUGACAGUUUAUCAGUAAACUCAGGGUCUUUUUUCUCUGCCCUAACUGUCGAAAAAAGAAAGACGCCAUGGAAGGGAAAAUACCGAGCAGACCUACAGUGACUGCACAGCAAAUCAUCUGGUAACAGAGUAAAUAUUUAUAUUUUUUGGCUGGAAGUGUGAGCAUGAAGCAUGCUUGGUUUUUGCUUUCUGGUACUGAUUGUAAUAGAUGUAUAAGAAAUGAGGUAGUGAUAUAGUGCCUAGGUGCUUUGUUUUACAAUUGGUUGUGUCAACUCUGGUUUUUUUCCAGCUUUGGUUAAACUGACAGAGGACAGAGAUGUCACCUGAUAGAUAUGUUUGUGAUAGUUCGAUUGCCAACAGCUUGAAGAUGUAAGUAAAAAUGAAGGUUGCAUAGUGAUGUGCUCAUCGCAGCAGCUUAUUUAUUGUGACCA
Molecule: long non-coding RNA, 1018 nt
Organism: Hevea brasiliensis (rubber tree)
Lineage: Eukaryota; Viridiplantae; Streptophyta; Magnoliopsida; Malpighiales; Euphorbiaceae
Exons: 4
Source: RefSeq, a predicted model, not a curated record